RNAcentral lists this ribosomal RNA (504 nucleotides) under uncultured bacterium. RNAcentral describes it as "partial 16S ribosomal RNA". It matches the Rfam family "Bacterial small subunit ribosomal RNA", at positions 29 to 523 of the family's 1533-position model. The record is from RNAcentral.
AUUGAACGCUGGCGGCAGGCCUAACACGUGCAAGUCGAACGGUAGCACAGAGAGCUUGCUCUCGGGUGACGAGUGGCGGACGGGUGAGUAACGUCUGGGAAACUGCCCGAUGGAGGGGGAUAACUACUGGAAACGGUAGCUAAUACCGCAUAACGUCGCAAGACCAAAGUGGGGGACCUUCGGGCCUCACCCCCUCGGAUGUGCCCAGAUGGGAUUAGCUAGUAGGUGGGGUAAUGGCUCACCUAGGCGACGAUCCCUAGCUGGUCUGAGAGGAUGACCAGCCACACUGGAACUGAGACACGGUCCAGACUCCUACGGGAGGCAGCAGUGGGGAAUAUUGCACAAUGGGCGCAAGCCUGAUGCAGCCAUGCCGCGUGUAUGAAGAAGGCCUUCGGGUUGUAAAGUACCUUCAGCGGGGAGGAAGGCGGUGAAGUUAAUAGCUUCACCGAUUGACGUUACCCGCAGAAGAAGCACCGGCUAACUCCGUGCCAGCAGCCGCCGUAA